GUCCACAGGCCUUCACAAAGCCAUAGUUCUACAGCCCCCUCUCCGGUUCCUCAUACACUGGCUGAGCUCUCUGACGCUGUUAGAAAAGCACCUCCAAACUCUCUCUGUGUGUCUUAACAGGCACCUGACCCCAGCUCUGGAUGGGAACAGCAGAAACAGCAUAAACAGCAUGAGCACCUUACUUCACACUUGAUUCUGGCUCAAGUCAACACACAGCUGGCUGUGCUCUUGGUCUCAAAAGCACUAAAAAGAAAUGAGCCAUCAAGCCAUGAAAAGCCAUGGAGGACCCGUGAAUGUCUGUUAUGAAAUGAAAGAAGCCAUUCUGAAAAGGCUACAUUCUAUAUGAUUCCAAGUAUUGCGCUCCAGAAAAAGAAAAACUGUGGAGAC
Long non-coding RNA from Heterocephalus glaber (naked mole-rat), 387 nucleotides. The record is from Ensembl. Lineage: Eukaryota; Metazoa; Chordata; Mammalia; Rodentia; Bathyergidae.